GAGAUGUUGGGUUAAGUCCCGUAACGAGCGCAACCCUUGUCCUUAGUUACCAGCACGUUAUGGUGGGCACUCUAAGGAGACUGCCGGUGACAAACCGGAGGAAGGUGGGGAUGACGUCAAGUCAUCAUGGCCCUUACGGCCUGGGCUACACACGUGCUACAAUGGUCGGUACAAAGGGUUGCCAAGCCGCGAGGUGGAGCUAAUCCCAUAAAACCGAUCGUAGUCCGGAUCGCAGUCUGCAACUCGACUGCGUGAAGUCGGAAUCGCUAGUAAUCGCGAAUCAGAAUGUCGCGGUGAAUACGUUCCCGGGUCUUGUACACACCG
Molecule: ribosomal RNA, 324 nt
Filed under: Pseudomonas sp. JC10(2013)
Lineage: Bacteria; Pseudomonadati; Pseudomonadota; Gammaproteobacteria; Pseudomonadales; Pseudomonadaceae
Description: bacterial SSU rRNA
Rfam family: Bacterial small subunit ribosomal RNA
Source: RNAcentral